RNAcentral lists this microRNA (18 nucleotides) under Homo sapiens (human). RNAcentral describes it as "hsa-miR-4434". Lineage: Eukaryota; Metazoa; Chordata; Mammalia; Primates; Hominidae. The record is from miRBase by way of RNAcentral.
AGGAGAAGUAAAGUAGAA